This is a long non-coding RNA of Cervus elaphus (red deer), 1830 nucleotides long. RefSeq lists it as uncharacterized. Lineage: Eukaryota; Metazoa; Chordata; Mammalia; Artiodactyla; Cervidae. The record is from RefSeq and is a predicted model, not a curated record. The transcript has 3 exons.
GGGGGCAGGAGAGGAAGGGAAGGGGAUUGUGGGGGGAGGGGAGGGAAGAUUCACAGUCAACUCGGGCCCAAGAGGUUUGAUUUGAAUGCAGUCGAACUAUAUUUUUUAAAAUUUGAUAAAACAGGUUAUCUCCCCCCCACCCCCCAGGCGACCAGUCUGGGUUUAAACAGGAAAUCGAGGAGCGGUCCCCUCCCCCACUCGGGCUUGGCGCAGAAGCCCAGUCACGCGUUUGGGAGAGGGUGGGGGGUGCUCUUGGCUCGGGCUGAAGGGGACUCUGGCCCCUAGACUCUCGGAUCUCUCCAGAAAUAUGCACCCUCCCCUCCCCCAGCUCUAGGGUGUGUCUGCCUUGGGUGUGUAAGCGAGUAUGUGUGCGUUGCCCUUUAUAAACAGAAGCUCACACAUAUAGGGGCCGCCUCGGACCCAGGCCAGGGAGCAGGGCGGGGACAUAUAUCAAGCUGCAACACAUUCAGGGCCACGUACAUUUGGAAGAAAUUAAGCCACUGUGUUAUGAAACCAUAUGUGUUGGGUUAAGACUAUACAACACGCCAUUAGCACCAAUUAUUAGGAAGAUCCCCAGCGCCCAGGACCCUCCGGGCCGCCCAAUUCUGAGUCCCGACCCCAUGAGCCAGCCGUGCCCCAGCCGUGCCUUGAGACCUCACUACCUUUGCUCAUCCAGGAGGCCCUGCCGGCGAGGCCUGGUCCCUGUCCCCACCCAUUCUAGGGCCUCUCCAAUUCCCACCUCCGCCCCAGACAGGGCAGAUCACAGCCCAGAGCAGCCAGGCGACGCGGGUGAAGCAGUCCAGUUGGUAUCCUGGAUGGGGUAGCCGCGGGUGGGGGUGGAGAACGCCGGGCCGGGGGGAGGGGGGAGAGAAGGUAGAUUGGCCCCCAUUCUCCAAGCACAAGAUGGCUUUUGAGGACCGAGUCUCCACCCCCACCCAUCCACCCGCAGUGCAGAGCACCUCCCCUCUUUCCAUCCGCUCGAGUGGGGGUGGAAGCAGGGGGUGGGCAGACGCUCUCUCCUCCGCUGACGCGCACCAGCCACCAGCCUCCCCCCUAAUUGCCAAUUAACUGGCCCCGCCGCCCGCCUAGCUGCGCUCUCUUCCUGCUCCGCUGCCGGGCCCUGGGCCCGCACUGCGCAUGUGUGAGCCCUAGCGGUCGCGCUCUCCGGGAGGGAGGGGGCUGCGGAGCAGGGAGGGGGCGCUGGAAAGUUUGUUUGGGGGUUGGGGGGCUGACUCUGCUCGGAGGGCAUUGGUUACAGCUUACAGGUUCUCUCUUCUGCCCUGGAUUUUGAGCUCCCGAGCCCCCUCUGUCCCAGUCCCGUUAGCCAAGAGGCCGCAGAUCUAUAACAGGCUCUUACAGGGAGGACUGUUCUGCGGAGCGCUCCGAACGGACAAACCACAAUAAAAAGUUCACGUUCAUGGAUGGAAUCCACAUGACUUCUUGUGGCCAAUCCAACUUGAAGAAAACAACAUCCUUCCCACUGGGGCGUAGGGGAAGCCCCCCACUCCACCCCAGAAGGAAACAGGAGGGGCAGGCCGCUGGAAGCCUGAUAACCAAGACUGACCUGGCCAUGGUCUGAAGAGCGAGAGGGUUUAGACCGGCCCUGGGCAGGCCUGCGGAGGCAGCUUGGUUGGUGGGGGGGGACGAGAAUGGGGAGCAGUCUGCAGAACUCCCAAAGUGCCCCUCACCCCCACGUUCUUUUCUCCGAGAAAGUGACAUUCACCCCCCCCCCGCCCCCCCCAAGGACCAUCCUUACUGUCAGAUCUCCUCAAUUCCUAGGUUCAGAUGGCAGCUUCCUCCUAAUCUUUUUAGAAUUAAAUAUAAAAUUAA